GCAAUGGACGAAAGUCUGACCGAGCAACGCCGCGUGAGUGAAGAAGGUUUUCGGAUCGUAAAGCUCUGUUGUAAGAGAAGAACGGGUGUGAGAGAGGAAAGUUCACACUGUGACGGUAUCUUACCAGAAAGGGACGGCUAACUACGUGCCAGCAGCCGCGGUAAUACGUAGGUCCCGAGCGUUGUCCGGAUUUAUUGGGCGUAAAGCGAGCGCAGGCGGUUAGAUAAGUCUGAAGUUAAAGGCUGUGGCUUAACCAUAGUACGCUUUGGAAACUGUUUAACUUGAGUGCAGAAGGGGAGAGUGGAAUUCCAUGUGUAGCGGUGAAAUGCGUAGAUAUAUGGAGGAACACCGGUGGCGAAAGCGGCUCUCUGGUCUGUAACUGACGCUGAGGCUCGAAAGCGUGGGGAGCGAACAGGAUUAGAUACCCUGGUAGUCCACGCCGUAAACGAUGAGUGCUAGGUGUUAGGCCCUUUCCGGGGCUUAGUGCCGCAGCUAACGCAUUAAGCACUCCGCCUGGGGAGUACGACCGCAAGGUUGAAACUCAAAGGAAUUGACGGGGGCCCGCACAAGCGGUGGAGCAUGUGGUUUAAUUCGAAGCA
RNAcentral lists this ribosomal RNA (599 nucleotides) under Streptococcus gordonii. RNAcentral's name for it is "bacterial SSU rRNA". It matches the Rfam family "Bacterial small subunit ribosomal RNA", at positions 368 to 958 of the family's 1533-position model. The record is from RNAcentral. Lineage: Bacteria; Bacillati; Bacillota; Bacilli; Lactobacillales; Streptococcaceae.